This is a long non-coding RNA of Notolabrus celidotus (New Zealand spotty), 1736 nucleotides long. RefSeq lists it as uncharacterized. The transcript is spliced from 4 exons. Lineage: Eukaryota; Metazoa; Chordata; Actinopteri; Labriformes; Labridae. The record is from RefSeq and is a predicted model, not a curated record.
UGGCCUGUGGUGACAUUUUGUAGAGCUCUGUCCCUAACUUUGGUCAACACUUUGAUCUUGCAUUCUGCCUUUUUCUGGUCUCUCUCUCUAAACUAACAAUGAAUACAUUUGGAUUGGAGCUUGGAUUUUUGCCUUUUAAGCCAAAUCAACAAAGGCCAUCCUUACAUGUGGUAUGAAAAGAAAAGACAGUAUGCUGCCCAAACACUAGCAGUCAAGGCAGCAGCCACAGCAGCAAGCAGAGUCUCCAGGCAAACAUGGCGCCACAAGGGGAGCUCCCGAGCAGGGCUAUCACUCCAUGGCAGAUACAACCACUUCCCAUGAAGCAAGUUUUUCCAACCUGGCUAGGAUAUUUGAAACUUUCAUGUGGUUUCAGAUAGGAAGGUGAAAGGUCAACAAGAUUAAGAUGUCAACAGAGUCCACCACCAGCGCUUCCGGGCUCUAGACGCACCUGUGGAUGAGUCUCCCCAGGACCUGUAGGUUCAACUUAAAGACCUGUUUUGCAAAUGGGUAAAAUUUGAUGCUGUCAGCAAGGAAGACAUCUGGGAAAGAUGUGAUCUUCUAGCAUUGCCUUAGAGUCCUCUAUCCGGAGGUGAAGACUUAGGUGAGAGAACACAACCCUGAGUCAGCAGCAGAGGGGACUGAGCUGGUUGACACUUGUGUCUUGGCACACAAAGGCCUGGGGAUUUACUCUACGCUGGGCUGCAUCAUGCCAGAGUUUCAGUAACAAGGCCGGUUUGUGUGGGAGAAGAAAAGACCUCUUCUGUGAAAAACUUUGCAAAACAGCUCUGCAAGAGAAGAAACGAACCACCCUCGGGGAGCUGAUACUCUCAUGUGAAAAGUGAGGAGAUCGUCAUAACCUGCAGAACAGAGCAUCGAUUCUGAGAAAUAUUGCAUUACUCACCCCGAGUGAGCCAAACGUCUAAAUGCAUCAGAUUCAGAGAGGGGGGCUGAAUAUUUGAAGGACUUUCAUACCACUUCACUCAAAUCCACAGGAUGGAAGAAAUUUCACAUUACGAUGAUUGAAGAUGAUGGCUGAGGCAACCUUCCAAAUUCUAGGGCAGUGUUUUGUGAGGGUCGACUUUGUGACUGACAGCUGCUAAAAUGACUGUGUUUCAGGAGAGAGAUGAAACUCAUAUCAUGUUAUAAAGUCCAGGUAUUAAGACACAUUUAUUAAAUAUCACACUUUAAAAUCCUUAUUUACUGUAUGGAUUGUGAAAAAAAGUUGUUAGACGCAGAUAAAAGUGUGUAGUGUUUUAUGUAUAUGACUUAAAGUCCAGCUCCAUCUUCAAAUCACUUUUUUAAACUACCGGUGUGGAAUCAAAGUGCUUCACAAUUCAUAUAAAAACAGAUUGAAAAAAUGUAGGUAUCACAUUGACAUGCACAAGAAAUGAAAACAAGAACAUAAAAGAGGGCAGGGGAAUGCCAGUUUCGCUCAGUGGGUAAAUUGCACGCCCCACUUACAGAGGCUACAAUCCUGGAAGUGGCGGCCUGUAGUGUAAAUCCAACUCUCACUCUUUUGCUGCAAGUCAUUCCCCACUCUCGGUUUUCUGUUCCCGACUCAAUCCACUCUCUUAUCUUCUCAAUAAAAAUGCAAGCAUGAAAAAGCUAAAUCAUCUUGAAGAAGGUAACACAGGAAGGUGUCCACAUGAGCAGCUUUCCUUCAGUCAGAUUAAAAUCAUUCAGAUUAGAGAUCCAGAUGUCACUGUAAUCACAUUAAGUAAAGUGAUCUGAUUAAG